AGCGUACACGGUGGAUGCCCUGGCAGUCAGAGGCGAUGAAGGACGUGCUAAUCUGCGAUAAGCGUCGGUAAGGUGAUAUGAACCGUUAUAACCGGCGAUUUCCGAAUGGGGAAACCCAGUGUGUUUCGACACACUAUCAUUAACUGAAUCCAUAGGUUAAUGAGGCGAACCGGGGGAACUGAAACAUCUAAGUACCCCGAGGAAAAGAAAUCAACCGAGAUUCCCCCAGUAGCGGCGAGCGAACGGGGAGCAGCCCAGAGCCUGAAUCAGUGUGUGUGUUAGUGGAAGCGUCUGGAAAGGCGCGCGAUACAGGGUGACAGCCCCGUACACAAAAAUGCACAUGCUGUGAGCUCGAUGAGUAGGGCGGGACACGUGGUAUCCUGUCUGAAUAUGGGGGGACCAUCCUCCAAGGCUAAAUACUCCUGACUGACCGAUAGUGAACCAGUACCGUGAGGGAAAGGCGAAAAGAACCCCGGCGAGGGGAGUGAAAAAGAACCUGAAACCGUGUACGUACAAGCAGUGGGAGCACGCUUAGGCGUGUGACUGCGUACCUUUUGUAUAAUGGGUCAGCGACUUAUAUUCUGUAGCAAGGUUAACCGAAUAGGGGAGCCGAAGGGAAACCGAGUCUUAACUGGGCGUUAAGUUGCAGGGUAUAGACCCGAAACCCGGUGAUCUAGCCAUGGGCAGGUUGAAGGUUGGGUAACACUAACUGGAGGACCGAACCGACUAAUGUUGAAAAAUUAGCGGAUGACUUGUGGCUGGGGGUGAAAGGCCAAUCAAACCGGGAGAUAGCUGGUUCUCCCCGAAAGCUAUUUAGGUAGCGCCUCGUGAAUUCAUCUCCGGGGGUAGAGCACUGUUUCGGCAAGGGGGUCAUCCCGACUUACCAACCCGAUGCAAACUGCGAAUACCGGAGAAUGUUAUCACGGGAGACACACGGCGGGUGCUAACGUCCGUCGUGAAGAGGGAAACAACCCAGACCGCCAGCUAAGGUCCCAAAGUCAUGGUUAAGUGGGAAACGAUGUGGGAAGGCCCAGACAGCCAGGAUGUUGGCUUAGAAGCAGCCAUCAUUUAAAGAAAGCGUAAUAGCUCACUGGUCGAGUCGGCCUGCGCGGAAGAUGUAACGGGGCUAAACCAUGCACCGAAGCUGCGGCAGCGACGCUUAUGCGUUGUUGGGUAGGGGAGCGUUCUGUAAGCCUGCGAAGGUGUGCUGUGAGGCAUGCUGGAGGUAUCAGAAGUGCGAAUGCUGACAUAAGUAACGAUAAAGCGGGUGAAAAGCCCGCUCGCCGGAAGACCAAGGGUUCCUGUCCAACGUUAAUCGGGGCAGGGUGAGUCGACCCCUAAGGCGAGGCCGAAAGGCGUAGUCGAUGGGAAACAGGUUAAUAUUCCUGUACUUGGUGUUACUGCGAAGGGGGGACGGAGAAGGCUAUGUUGGCCGGGCGACGGUUGUCCCGGUUUAAGCGUGUAGGCUGGUUUUCCAGGCAAAUCCGGAAAAUCAAGGCUGAGGCGUGAUGACGAGGCACUACGGUGCUGAAGCAACAAAUGCCCUGCUUCCAGGAAAAGCCUCUAAGCAUCAGGUAACAUCAAAUCGUACCCCAAACCGACACAGGUGGUCAGGUAGAGAAUACCAAGGCGCUUGAGAGAACUCGGGUGAAGGAACUAGGCAAAAUGGUGCCGUAACUUCGGGAGAAGGCACGCUGAUAUGUAGGUGAAGUCCCUCGCGGAUGGAGCUGAAAUCAGUCGAAGAUACCAGCUGGCUGCAACUGUUUAUUAAAAACACAGCACUGUGCAAACACGAAAGUGGACGUAUACGGUGUGACGCCUGCCCGGUGCCGGAAGGUUAAUUGAUGGGGUUAUCCGUAAGGAGAAGCUCUUGAUCGAAGCCCCGGUAAACGGCGGCCGUAACUAUAACGGUCCUAAGGUAGCGAAAUUCCUUGUCGGGUAAGUUCCGACCUGCACGAAUGGCGUAAUGAUGGCCAGGCUGUCUCCACCCGAGACUCAGUGAAAUUGAACUCGCUGUGAAGAUGCAGUGUACCCGCGGCAAGACGGAAAGACCCCGUGAACCUUUACUAUAGCUUGACACUGAACAUUGAGCCUUGAUGUGUAGGAUAGGUGGGAGGCUUUGAAGUGUGGACGCCAGUCUGCAUGGAGCCGACCUUGAAAUACCACCCUUUAAUGUUUGAUGUUCUAACGUUGACCCGUAAUCCGGGUUGCGGACAGUGUCUGGUGGGUAGUUUGACUGGGGCGGUCUCCUCCUAAAGAGUAACGGAGGAGCACGAAGGUUGGCUAAUCCUGGUCGGACAUCAGGAGGUUAGUGCAAUGGCAUAAGCCAGCUUGACUGCGAGCGUGACGGCGCGAGCAGGUGCGAAAGCAGGUCAUAGUGAUCCGGUGGUUCUGAAUGGAAGGGCCAUCGCUCAACGGAUAAAAGGUACUCCGGGGAUAACAGGCUGAUACCGCCCAAGAGUUCAUAUCGACGGCGGUGUUUGGCACCUCGAUGUCGGCUCAUCACAUCCUGGGGCUGAAGUAGGUCCCAAGGGUAUGGCUGUUCGCCAUUUAAAGUGGUACGCGAGCUGGGUUUAGAACGUCGUGAGACAGUUCGGUCCCUAUCUGCCGUGGGCGCUGGAGAAUUGAGGGGGGCUGCUCCUAGUACGAGAGGACCGGAGUGGACGCAUCACUGGUGUUCGGGUUGUCAUGCCAAUGGCACUGCCCGGUAGCUAAAUGCGGAAGAGAUAAGUGCUGAAAGCAUCUAAGCACGAAACUUGCCCCGAGAUGAGUUCUCCCUGACUCCUUGA
RNAcentral lists this ribosomal RNA (2789 nucleotides) under human gut metagenome. RNAcentral's name for it is "bacterial LSU rRNA". It matches the Rfam family "Bacterial large subunit ribosomal RNA". The record is from RNAcentral.